Molecule: microRNA, 21 nt
Filed under: Hordeum vulgare
Lineage: Eukaryota; Viridiplantae; Streptophyta; Magnoliopsida; Poales; Poaceae
Description: hvu-miR6212
Source: miRBase by way of RNAcentral
AUACAGUUUACAAUGCACGAU